GACGAACGCUGGCGGCGUGCUUAACACAUGCAAGUCGAACGAAAAGAGGGAAAGAGCUUGCUCUUUCCGGAAUUGAGUGGCAAACGGGUGAGUAACACGUAAACAACCUGCCUUCAGGAUGGGGACAACAGACGGAAACGACUGCUAAUACCGAAUAAGUUCCAAGAGCCGCAUGGCCCAUGGAAGAAAAGGUGGCCUCUACCUGUAAGCUAUCGCCUGAAGAGGGGUUUGCGUCUGAUUAGCUGGUUGGAGGGGUAACGGCCCACCAAGGCGACGAUCAGUAGGCGGUCUGAGAGGAUGAACGGCCAAACUGGAACUGAGACACGGGCCAGACUCCUACGGGAGGCAGCAGUGGGGAAUCUUCCGCAAUGGGCGAAAGCCUGACGGAGCAACGCCGCGUGAGUGAUGACGGCCUUCGGGUUGUAAAACUCUGUGAUCCGGGACGAAAAGGCAGAGUGCGAAGAACAAACUGCAUUGACGGUACCGGAAAAGCAAGCCACGGCUAACUACGUG
Molecule: ribosomal RNA, 513 nt
Filed under: uncultured bacterium
Lineage: Bacteria
Description: partial 16S ribosomal RNA
Rfam family: Bacterial small subunit ribosomal RNA
Source: RNAcentral